GGAGAAAUUAAAGAAGAUGCCUCUUUGUUUCUGUAUCAAUAACAAAAAUGCCAGCGAUGACACACCCUGAGGGUUCAUCCAGUUAAUCUAGUUUUUAAGACAUACUUCAACUGUUUUAUAUUUAUUACCAUACAUGGUGAAAAAUGACUCCUGCCAUUGUAUGAUUGGCUGUAUGUGAGCAAGAGAGAAAGUAUAAAUACAAAGGGAAAAAGGUUUUCCAGAGCAGUCUUUUGCCUUGGACAGACAUUCACACCAGCUGACACCGACCUUACACAUCACCUGAACUGACACAGAUUCGGAAGCAGCUGUAGGACCGGAGUAGGAACCAUCCCAGUGAGAAAACCAGAGCAUCACAACAAGAAGAGAAAUACAAGAUGACUGCUCCAAUAAUUCCAUACACUACAGACAUGACACGUUACGAUAGAGGAAAACUCAGAGACCAAACUGUGAAAUCUCACCCAGAUGUUCUUUAUAGGGACAGAAAGGAAAAUAUUACAAAAGAAAACCUCAUUUUCCAUACUGAAAAUAUUGGGGCAUGGAAAGAAGCAAUACGGCGUAAAUAUCAACAAAUCAAAGAAGUUCCUACAAAGACAGUCAAAUUUGAACUCCCUGGUGACGGGGGAUUUGUAACCAUACACUCUUCUGGAAAGGUUGUGAUAGAUGGUUCAAAAGAAAAACUAGAUGCAUUUGAAAAAGUCUUUGAAGAUCUCCGCAUCGAGGUGAAUACUGAGGACAUAAUAAUACAAACAGAACAAAUAAACCUGAUCGAAUCUGAUCCUGACGGUGAAGGACAUCCUGGUGAGGCAGGGAUUGACAGUACCGAAAAUAGAAAUAGGGAGGAAUAACAAAGCCUGGACUGUCUGUUUAUUAAGUUCAAACAGACUGGAAAAAAAAAAAAAAAAAAAAAAUGGAUCAUUAUACAUUAAAUAACUUCCAAUUAAAGUUUUUCUGAUCAUUUUAUGUCAUGAAUAGGUGACUGGGUUGUAAAAUCAGUUACAUAUUUUUGUUUUUUGUUUUGAUUUGCCUGUUAUGUACUGUAGUCUAUAUCUUCAACAAUUUCUGGUUCUUGUGUUUACUUAUUGUUUUUAAAUGGUGUAAGAGGAGUUAAACAUGAAAUAUCAAAUGUAAAAGGAAUUAUAAUGAUGAUGUAUCUUCUGUCUGUGUCUUACAACACUGGCUCACUAUAGUCUGUCUGCGAGUUACAGAGGAAUUACACAGCAGUCUUGU
Molecule: long non-coding RNA, 1227 nt
Organism: Seriola aureovittata
Lineage: Eukaryota; Metazoa; Chordata; Actinopteri; Carangiformes; Carangidae
Exons: 3
Source: RefSeq, a predicted model, not a curated record